This 76-nucleotide transfer RNA is filed under the name Deltaproteobacteria bacterium. RNAcentral describes it as "tRNA-Ala". It matches the Rfam family "tRNA". From Rfam's summary of the family: Transfer RNA (tRNA) molecules are approximately 80 nucleotides in length. Their secondary structure includes four short double-helical elements and three loops (D, anti-codon, and T loops). The record is from RNAcentral. Lineage: Bacteria; Pseudomonadati; Myxococcota; Myxococcia.
GGGGGAUUAGCUCAGCUGGGAGAGCGCGGCACUCGCAUUGCCGAGGUCGGGGGUUCGACUCCCCUAUCCUCCACCA